RNAcentral lists this ribosomal RNA (397 nucleotides) under uncultured bacterium. Its description in RNAcentral is "partial 16S ribosomal RNA". It matches the Rfam family "Bacterial small subunit ribosomal RNA", at positions 523 to 918 of the family's 1533-position model. The record is from RNAcentral.
AUACGUUGGGGGCGAGCGUUGUCCGGAAUUACUGGGCGUAAAGGGUGCGUAGGUGGCACUUUAAGUUGGAUGUGAAAUCCCCGUGCUUAACAUGGGAGCUGCAUCCAAUACUGGAGAGCUAGAGUGCAGGAGAGGUAAGCGGAAUUCCUAGUGUAGCGGUGCAAUGCGUAGAUAUUAGGAGGAACACCAGUGGCGAAGGCGGCUUACUGGACUGUAACUGACACUGAGGCACGAAAGCGUGGUGAGCAAACAGGAUUAGAUACCCUGGUAGUCCACGCUGUAAACGAUGAAUACUAGGUGUAGGGGGUAUCAACUCCCUCUGUGCCGCAGCAAACGCAAUAAGUAUUCCGCCUGGGGAGUACGGCCGCAAGGUUGAAACUCAAAUGAAUUGACGGGG